AUUAGCACUUGAAUCAAAAAAUGAAGAAUCCACAUCCAUAUUUCUUUUUUUGGCGGAGGGGAAUGGAGUCUUACUCUGUCACCCAAACUCCGCCUCCUGGCUUCAAGCAAUUCUCCUACCUCAGCCUCCCAAGUAGCUGGGAUUACAAGCACCUGCGACUACACCUGGCUAAUUUUUUUGUUUUGUUAGUAGAGAUGGGGUUUCACGACGUUGGUCAGUCUGGUCUGGAACUCCUGACCUCAAGUGAUCCACCCACCUCAGCCUCUCAAAGUGCUGGGAUUACAGGUGUGAGCCACUGUGCCCGGCAGCUGGGAGCGUUUUAAAGUCAAGUCCUACAAACCCUGGGCAGUUUCACCCGCCUUAAGGACCGCACUCAACUGUGACCUUCAUUCCUAUGAACCUCGCAGCAGUGGUAGAAGGUAUCAGUAGAGGCGGUCAGGACCGUGGUUCCUAAAGUCAGCCAAGCCUGCCGACGGCCAGUGCUGUAGUGCUGUGUGUUUCAGCAAGCUGUUUGGCUCACCCCAGUCUUGGUUUUCUUAUCUCUUAGACAUUAUCAUUGCUCUUACCUCAUUGGAUGCUUGUAAGGACUGAAUAGGGUGCACGUGGAAGGCUGAACCGAGUGCCUGGCCCAGAGGCAGCAUUUGAUCAGACUUAGUGUUCAUUAUGGUUCUAUAAUGUAACAUGACGUGAUUAAAUGGUAGAUCAUUACCACUAUUACGAGAAUGGCCACUAGCCUGAACAUCACUCCAGAGGAGGAGUGGCCAUCGGGAAGGCUGGCUUAGGGGCAUUUUUCUUUCUGUCUCUCACUCAUCAACCUUCUGCUUCUGUCUCAGGGAGGACUAGCUCGGAUCACCCAGGGUCAGCCGCUGGAGGUGGCCUUCGGGUCCCAGGUCACUCUGAGGAAUGUCUUUGGGAAACCUGUGCCCUGCUGGCUUCAUUCCCACCAGGACACCUACCCCAUGAUGUAAGGAAAGCGAUGGUUUUACUUUGAAGAUGAUUAAAUGCUUUAUUUGCUCAUAGAUGUGCUUAUCUUAGCAACUUUCCCUUUCUUUGAGGAAGUUUGUUUGCAGGGCAGAAAGAAGUUGAGCAGCCUGGGUGCUGAUUGCCCGUGAGCUUCGUGGUUCCCGGGUGUUGCUGGAGGGACUUGGCAUGUGGCAGGGCCCAGGGUCGGCCCCAGCUCUGUGGCUGUGGCUGACCUCAGCACUGCCUGCCUAAAUUGUCUGAUUUCAGCUCCUUAUCUGUGGUAUCUUCAUUUUCCCUGAAACCCCUUGCUAGGUUGUAUUUGUUGAAAUCUGCUUCCCUUUGCAGAAACUUUAGGAGAAAGGUGUGUGGGCCUGAUCGAUGACCCACUUCCAGAUACGUUUCUUUCCCUUUCUUUUCUUUUUUUCACAAAUAGAGACGGGGUCUCACUAUGUUGCCCAGGCUGGUCUCAAACUCCUAGGCUCAAGCAGUUAUCCUACCUCAGCCUCCCAAGGUGCUCUGAUUACAGGCGUGAGCCACCGCGCCUGGCCCAGAUACAUCUCUUUGUUGACUUCACACAGAUAUGAGAACGGCCGAGGAAGCUCCCACCAGCAACAGGUGACCUGUUACCCCUUCAAAGACGUCAAUAACUGGUGGAUUGUAAAGGAUCCCAGGAGGCACCAACUGGUGGUGAGCAGCCCUCCGAGACCUGUGAGGCAUGGGGACAUGGUGCAGCUGGUCCACGGCCUGACCACCCGCUCCCUGAACACGCAUGAUGUUGCAGCCCCCCUGAGUCCCCAUUCACAGGAGGUCUCCUGCUACAUUGACUAUAACAUCUCCAUGCCCGCCCAGAACCUCUGGAGACUGGAAAUUGUGAACAGAGGAUCCGACACAGAUGUCUGGAAGACCAUCCUCUCAGAGGUCCGCUUUGUGCACGUGAACACUUCCGCUGUCUUAAAGCUGAGUGGGGCUCACCUCCCUGACUGGGGGUAUCGCCAGCUGGAGAUCGUCGGGGAGAAGCUGUCCCGGGGCUACCACGGGAGCACGGUGUGGAACGUGGAGGAGCACCGAUAUGGCGCGAGAGCAGAGGGAGCGGGAAUGGGAGCUGCACUCACCUGCACAGGUGGAUGUCAGCAGGAACCUCAGCUUCAUGGCGAGAUUCUCGGAGCUGCAGUGGAGGAUGCUGGCGCUGAGAAGUGAUGACUCGGAACACAAGUACAGCUCCAGCCCGCUGGAGUGGGUCACUCUGGACACCAAUAUUGCCUACUGGCUGCACCCCAGGACCAGCGCUCAGAUCCAUCUACUCGGAAACAUAGUGAUCUGGGUUUCGGGCAGCCUCGCUCUGGCCAUCUACAGCCUGCUGUCCUUGUGGUACCUGCUCCGACGGCGAAGAAAUGUCCAUGACCUCCCUCAGGAUGCCUGGCUGCGCUGGGUGCUGGCUGGGGUGCUGUGUGCUGGUGGCUGGGCAGUGAACUACCUCCCGUUCUUCCUGAUGGAGAAGACACUCUUCCUCUACCACUAUCUGCCUGCACUCACCUUCCAAAUCCUUCUGCUCCCUGUGGUCCUGCAGCACAUCAGCGACCACCUGUGCAGGUCCCAGCUCCAGAGGACUGUCUUCAGCGCCCUGGUGGUGGCCUGGUACUCCUCCGCGUGCCACGUGUCCAACACGCUGCGCCCACUCACCUACGGGGACAAGUCGCUCUCGCCACAUGAACUCAAGGCCCUUCGCUGGAAAGACAGCUGGGACAUCUUGAUCCGAAAACACUAGAACAAGAGUGUGGCAAAGAACACCCGUGCUGGGGUCGGGACGAGGUUGAAGGGUCUUGGUCAAUGUACGUAAUGAGCAGGGUGGGCCCCACGCUGGGAGGACAUGGGCCGGGCUCAGCAGGGCCUCUACCGGAACACGUGGGGGUCUCAUUCUUGAAAAGCUCUCUGAUGAGCAGCUCCUUUUCGUGCAAAGUUAAUUUUUUCUCGACAAUGAAGAUACCCCCUCUGUGUCUUCACCCCUGAACUAAGACACAGGGAGUAUUUCAGAGGCCAGCUUAGGAGUUGACAAAGAAAAGCCGAGAACCCAGGGCCAGCAGUGAAGCAAGUGAGACUCAGCAGACCGGGGCCUGGUCCUUGCUAAGUGCUGCAGGGUGGAGUUUGAUCUGGCAGACCCGAUCCUCUUUCAUGAACACCCAGCAACCUGAGCAAGUCCCAGCCCCGCCCUCAGCGAGGCCGGCAGGCGUCCUGAGACAGCUCAGUGUUGGAGGGCCACCUGAAGCACAAGCCGGGGCUGGGGCCUGCACGUCAUUGUCUAUGACAGCAUCAAGACUGGCCCUCGGCACCGUGCUGUGUGGAAACCCUCCCCGCUGAGACUCCACUGAGACGUGGCUGAGUGAAAUCUUCCUCGUCAUUGGUCAAGGUGUGUCAUCCAUACAGCUCCAUGCCUUUACUUUGUCUUUUUAAUGUAAUUAAAAAAGGAAUGAACUGG
Molecule: small RNA, 3436 nt
Filed under: Pongo abelii (Sumatran orangutan)
Lineage: Eukaryota; Metazoa; Chordata; Mammalia; Primates; Hominidae
Description: processed transcript
Source: RNAcentral